This 73-nucleotide transfer RNA is filed under the name archaeon. RNAcentral's name for it is "tRNA-Gln". It matches the Rfam family "tRNA". From Rfam's summary of the family: Transfer RNA (tRNA) molecules are approximately 80 nucleotides in length. Their secondary structure includes four short double-helical elements and three loops (D, anti-codon, and T loops). Further hydrogen bonds mediate the characteristic L-shaped molecular structure. tRNAs have two regions of fundamental functional importance: the anti-codon, which is responsible for specific mRNA codon recognition, and the 3' end, to which the tRNAs corresponding amino acid is attached (by aminoacyl-tRNA synthetases). tRNAs cope with the degeneracy of the genetic code in two manners: having more than one tRNA (with a specific anti-codon) for a particular amino acid; and 'wobble' base-pairing, i.e. permitting non-standard base-pairing at the 3rd anti-codon position. The record is from RNAcentral.
AGCCCCUUAGUCUAGUGGUCAAGGAUGCAAGGUUCUGGGCCUUGCGACCCAGGUUCGAAUCCUGGAGGGGCUA